Molecule: ribosomal RNA, 443 nt
Filed under: uncultured bacterium
Lineage: Bacteria
Description: partial 16S ribosomal RNA
Rfam family: Bacterial small subunit ribosomal RNA
Source: RNAcentral
CCUACGGGCGGCAGCAGUGGGGAAUAUUGGGCAAUGGGCGCAAGCCUGACCCAGCAACGCCGCGUGAAGGAAGAAGGCUCUCGGGUUGUAAACUUCUUUUAUCAGGGACGAAGCAAGUGACGGUACCUGAUGAAUAAGCCACGGCUAACUACGUGCCAGCAGCCGCGGUAAUCCGUAGGUGGCAAGCGUUAUCCGGAUUUACUGGGUGUAAAGGGCGUGUAGGCGGUAAAGCAAGUCAGAUGUGAAAACCAUGGGCUCAACCUGUGGACUGCAUUUGAAACUGUUUUUCUUGAGUACUGGAGAGGCAGACGGAAUUCCUAGUGUAGCGGUGGAAUGCGUAGAUAUUAGGAGGAACACCAGUGGCGAAGGCGGUCUGCUGGACAGCAACUGACGCUGAGGCGCGAAAGCGUGGGGAGCAAACAGGAUUAGAUACCCGAGUAGUC